AGUGAACGCUGGCGGUAGGCCUAACACAUGCAAGUCGAACGGCAGCACAGUAAGAGCUUGCUCUUACGGGUGGCGAGUGGCGGACGGGUGAGGAAUACAUCGGAAUCUACUUUUUCGUGGGGGAUAACGUAGGGAAACUUACGCUAAUACCGCAUACGACCUACGGGUGAAAGCAGGGGAUCUUCGGACCUUUCGCGAUUGAAUGAGCCGAUGUCGGAUUAGCUAGUUGGCGGGGUAAUGGCCCACCCAGGCGACGAUCCGUAGCUGGUCUGAGAGGAUGAUCGGCCACACUGGAGCUGGGACGCGGACCAGACUCCUGCGGGAGGCAGCAGUGGGGAAUGUUGGGCAAUGGGCGCGAGCCUGAUCCAGCCAUACCGCGUGGGUGAAGGAGGCCUUCGGGUUGUAAAGCCCUUUUGUUGGGAAAGAAAAGCAGCAGGUUAAUACCCCGCUGUUCUGACGGUACCCAAAGAAUAAGCACCGGCUAACUUCGUG
Molecule: ribosomal RNA, 492 nt
Filed under: uncultured bacterium
Lineage: Bacteria
Description: partial 16S ribosomal RNA
Rfam family: Bacterial small subunit ribosomal RNA
Source: RNAcentral